UCUCCGUUGGUGAGCCAGCGGAGGGAUCAUUACAGGAUCGAAAGACUCCUAUAACCCCUGUGAACUUACUACAAAUACGUUGCUUCGGCGGGUGCCCCGGGUCUCCCGGGGCGUUCAGCCCGCCGGCAGCCUUCAAAUUCUGUUUCUUUGCGUUGGCAUCUCGAGUAUACAAAAAUAAGUUAAAACUUUCAACAACGGAUCUCUUGGUUCUGGCAUCUAUGAAGAACGCAGC
This 232-nucleotide unclassified non-coding RNA is filed under the name plant metagenome. RNAcentral's name for it is "partial contains small subunit ribosomal RNA, internal transcribed spacer 1, and 5.8S ribosomal RNA". The stretch from base 184 to 232 matches the Rfam family "5.8S ribosomal RNA", at positions 1 to 49 of the family's 154-position model. The record is from RNAcentral.